GUCCGGCCCGGCCCGAGGUUUGUGCAAUCCCGAUAGGAGAGAGGCGAAGUAGAUCGCUUUUCAGCGACACGCCGUCACACACGCCGUCGUACAAAACAAAGGUUCCAGGCAAGUAUGACGACAUAUCAGCCAGGACCGGAACCUCUCCUCCCUGGCAUGAAGCGAGGCCAGACGUUGCAACAGUUCAUGGCGCAAUGGGGAACAUCUGAUGGGAUGAAGACGCAUGAACUCAUCGACCGAGUUAUAAGAUUUCUGAGAAAUAACGUUCCAGUUAGUGUUGCGAAGAUCGUCAAGGGUGGAUCUAUUGGAAGGAACACUUCUUUCUGCUCUCCCUCCGACGUGGACAUCUUCGUCUUCUGUAAUGACUUGAGGUCUGUUCCUGACAUGAAAACACAGACAAGUAGUCUUCUCCACAUAAUCAGAUCUAAGCUGGACUCUCCACAGUGGCUACCAUCAGCUGGGGCUAUAGGAACCGUGGAAUGCACAGAUCACUCAAUCUCGUUUCUUCUGACAUGCUACGACUUGGAACAACAACUCAUGAUACAAAUAUUCCCUGUGUAUGACAUCCUCAAAUACAAAAACGAGCACGAUGUGUACAUAGACAUGGGAGAACACUCUGAUGCUGUCAAAAAAUGCUACUCAUUGUGUCUGGCAGAGAUACAGAUCGAAUUCAUCAAACGGGCACCGAGCAAAGUACACUCCCUCAUGAAACUCAUGAAAUACUGGCUGAAGGAGGAUGUGCAGAUUGACACGGGCAGUUACUUCAUAGAGACCAUGGUCAUGCACAGAUGGCAGCGGGCAGGAAAACCGAAUGAUUUUAACAUAUCUGACUGGUUUGAAGAGAUUAUGACACAGUUGGCGGACCUCUCGUCACUUAGUAUUAUAUGGGAAGAUAGAUACACAGCAAGCAACUACAGGAUCGUCCCAACCAAACCGGUUGUGUUGGACCCUGCAAACCCCCACGAAAACGUCAUCCCCGAUCGACGAAGCUGUGCAGAGAUUAUGGAGUGUGCCAGAAUUGUGGUCAGUCGGAGCCAACAACUGAAGAACUACCUAAAAGAAGGCCCUGCUCCAAUCAUUGAAGGGAUGGGUAGAGGGGAAUCCCUACAACACUUUAUCCAGGACAAAGUACAGCCUAGCAGUGACUUCCGCCGGAAGUGCGACCACCUGGUAGAUCGCGUGACGUACUUCCUGCAACAUCACGCGCAUCUCAGCGUCAACAUGGUUGUCAGAGGAGGUUCACUUGGAAAAAGCACCAAUGUUUUUGGAAAGUCGGACGUCGAUCUUGUGGUGUUUGUAAACAACAUCAAGUCUGUCGAAGACCUUUCAAUGAAAAUGCCAGUCCUGCUGAAUAUUUUGGAAGAAGCCUUGAACUCCAAGUGGACGGACUUUGCAGGAUGUUUGGAGCAGGGAAACCGCUCGGACCGGGGACUGCAGUACAACCUCAGUUGCGGAGAAAGCGACCAUUUCCAUGACGUGGACAUCUUGCCUUCCUUCAACAUUCUCCGAGUAAAAACUCCAGAUGAGGUGUUCACAGAAAUGAAAUCAAAGACGGACAAUGAGAGGAGGCUGUACGCGCCAUGUUUUUCUCAGAAACAGGUGGACUUCGUUAAGCAAGCUCCUAUCAAAGUGAAGAAUCUGAUACGGCUUGUGAAAUACUGGGCAAAGUUGUCAUCUCCCAUUGGAAGAAGAACGGCUCCCCAUUCGACUUCGUCACCCAGGAUUGGUUCCGGGAGGUCAUGACCAAGCUGACCGAUCUGACGUCACUGCGGAUACUGUGGCCCGACCAAUACGACGCAGCUUUGUACUAUGUAUUUCCGUACGAUCAUCUGCGAUAUAAGACGGAUGAAUAUAAGAUGGAGGAAAAAUCCUAGCAUCUCUGGCAGUUUCUGUGCAUGAGAAGGA
This 1905-nucleotide unclassified non-coding RNA is filed under the name Haliotis rubra (blacklip abalone). RNAcentral's name for it is "2'-5'-oligoadenylate synthase 2-like, transcript variant X1". The record is from RNAcentral. Lineage: Eukaryota; Metazoa; Mollusca; Gastropoda; Lepetellida; Haliotidae.